UGUACUUCAGGUAGGUAGUGGUGGAGCAGCAUGAUGAGUGCUGAGAUUGUACUUCAGGUAGUGGUGGAGCAGCAUGAUGAGUGCUGAGAUUGUACUUCAG
Molecule: long non-coding RNA, 100 nt
Filed under: Haliotis rufescens (red abalone)
Lineage: Eukaryota; Metazoa; Mollusca; Gastropoda; Lepetellida; Haliotidae
Description: uncharacterized LOC125372954
Source: RNAcentral